Oncorhynchus keta (chum salmon) is the source of this 4653-nucleotide long non-coding RNA. RefSeq lists it as uncharacterized. NCBI's taxonomy places the organism in Eukaryota, Metazoa, Chordata, Actinopteri, Salmoniformes, Salmonidae. The transcript has 5 exons. The record is from RefSeq and is a predicted model, not a curated record.
CAAAGUUUUGCACAGUAAUAAAUGAAUGAUUUGAAAAGGAUCUCUUAUAGUGAUGUCUAUUUCAAUCUGUCCUCUGUAAAGUUCUUCUUUACUGUCUGUAUAAUAAUGUCUGACUAACCGGCUCGGGUCUUGAUUUACUGUCUACCCCGCCCUGCCAUGAGAUGCAGUGCAUGUCAGUACACAGUCUGACAUUAUAAUUAUGAUGUCCUUCCCUGUUAUUAUCACCCGAACACUAUUUACAAAGCAGCGGAGGCGGAUCUCUCCGGGGAGAUUGAGUAGGUAAAAUAUCAUCUGGAGAGGAGGAAUAGGAGGAGGAGGCGGAUCUCUACGGGGAGAUUGAGUAGGUAAAAUAUCAUCUGGAGAGGAGGAAUAGGAGGAGGAGGAGGCGGAUCUCUACGGGGAGAUUGAGUAGGUAAAAUAUCAUCUGGAGACGAGGAAUAGGAGGAGGAGGCGGAUCUCUACGGGGAGAUUGAGUAGGUAAAAUAUAAUCUGGAGAGGAGGAAUAGGAGGAGGAGGCGGAUCUCUACGGGGAGAUUGAGUAGGUAAAAUAUCAUCUGGAGAGGAGGAAUAGGAGGAGGAGGCGGAUCUCUCCGGGGAGAUUGAGUAGGUAAAAUAUCAUCUGGAGAGGAGGAAUAGGAGGAGGAGGCGGAUCUCUACGGGGAGAUUGAGUAGGUAAAAUAUCAUCUGGAGAGGAGGAAUAGGAGGAGGAGGCGGAUCUCUACGGGGAGAUUGAGUAGGUAAAAUAUCAUCUGGAGAGGAGGAAUAGGAGGAGGAGGCGGAUCUCUCCGGGGAGAUUGAGUAGGUAAAAUAUCAUCAGGAGAGGAGGAAUAGGAGGAGGAGGCGGAUCUCUCCGGGGAGAUUGAGUAGGUAAAAUAUCAUCUGGAGAGGAGGAAUAGGAGGAGGAGGCGGAUCUCUCCGGGGAGAUUGAGUAGGUAAAAUAUCAUCUGGAGAGGAGGAAUAGGAGGAGGAGGCGGAUCUCUCCGGGGAGAUUGAGUAGGUAAAAUAUCAUCUGGAGAGGAGGAAUAGGAGGAGGAGGCGGAUCUCUCCGGGGAGAUUGAGUAGGUAAAAUAUCAUCAGGAGAGGAGGAAUAGGAGGAGGAGGCGGAUCUCUACGGGGAGAUUGAGUAGGUAAAAUAUCAUCUGGAGAGGAGGAAUAGGAGGAGGAGGCGGAUCUCUACGGGGAGAUUGAGUAGGUAAAAUAUCAUCCAGAGAGGAGGAAUAGGAGGAGGAGGCGGAUCUCUACGGGGAGAUUGAGUAGGUAAAAUAUCAUCCAGAGAGGAGGAAUAGGAGGAGGAGGCGGAUCUCUCCGGGGAGAUUCUGUAGGUAAAAUAUCAUCUGGAGAGGAGGAAUAGGAGGAGGAGGCGGAUCUCUACGGGGAGAUUGAGUAGGUAAAAUAUAAUCCAGAGAGGAGGAAUAGGAGGAGGAGGCGGAUCUCUACGGGGAGAUUGAGUAGGUAAAAUAUCAUCUGGAGAGGAGGAAUAGGAGGAGGAGGCGGAUCUCUACGGGGAGAUUGAGUAGGUAAAAUAUCAUCCAGAGAGGAGGAAUAGGAGGAGGAGGCGGAUCUCUCCGGGGAGAUUCUGUAGGUAAAAUAUCAUCUGGAGACGAGGAAUAGGAGGAGGAGGCGGAUCUCUCCGGGGAGAUUGAGUAGGUAAAAUAUCAUCUGGAGAGGAGGAAUAGGAGGAGGAGGCGGAUCUCUACGGGGAGAUUGAGUAGGUAAAAUAUCAUCUGGAGAGGAGGAAUAGGAGGAGGAGGCGGAUCUUUCCGGGGAGAUUGAGUAGGUAAAAUAUCAUCUGGAGAGGAGGAAUAGGAGGAGGAGGCGGAUCUCUACGGGGAGAUUGAGUAGGUAAAAUAUCAUCUGGAGAGGAGGAAUAGGAGGAGGAGGGAAUGCAACAGGCUGCAAUGGCUACACUCUCUUCCCUGGCAGAGAGGACAGGCCGAGUUGAUGUAGGCCUACCCCAAACGUUAGAUUGGUUUUUCAGGCGUUUUAAUACCCUAUGGACCAGGAGUUCUUCUGACCACAUGACCUAACCAGGAUAAACUCUUGGGUCUAGACCCUGGUUAUAUCCUACAACUAGGCCUUCUUCAACUUCUAAUCAAGCUGGGAGCCUGAGUAACCUGGGCCCAGAGUAACAGGCUCAGUUCACAUGGUCAGAAAUAACUCCUCCUAGUGCUAGGCAUACUGUGAGAGAUGAUGUUGCUGUGGAUAGUGGAUGUCACAAGUGAUUUCCAAACAACUGUUGGGUAUCAGCGAUUUAGAAGUGUUGUUUGUCUUUUGCAAGUAAGAUUGAGGGAUACAAACAAUGUCAACAUCUCUCCUAAUUGCAGCCCUUGCUGAUGGGAGAUUCUCCUUAAUAUUUCAGCUGAAUAUACUUUGAAGCGUUUGAUUGAGCCUGUUUAGAGUGCAUGCCACAUGGAUGGGGUGUGCACUUUUGGGACUAUCCCAAUGGUUCCAUUUUAAAAGUAACAAUUCUAUUUGAACUCCAGGUCUGCCACACCACAGAGUAGUGAUAACUUCAUGACCUGUUUCCCUUUGAGUUAUUAUUGAGUUUAGUUUGUCAGAGGUCCACACUCCGGACCAGGUUGGGUAAAGGGCAAGCUUCACACUGUUAGUAUUUGGUUGGGUUUGUCAGAGGUCCACACUCCGGACUAGGUUGGGUAAAGGGCAAGCUUCGCACUGUUAGUAUUUGGUUGGGUUUGUAAGAGGUCCACACUCCGGACUAGGUUGGGUAAAGGGCAAGCUUCGCACUGUUAGUAUUUGGUUGGGUUUGUCAGAGGUCCACACUCCGGACUAGGUUGGGUAAAGGGCAAGCUUCGCACUGUUAGUAUUUGGUUGGGUUUGUCAGAGGUCCACACUCCGGACUAGGUUGGGUAAAGGGCAAGCUUCGCACUGUUAGUAUUUGGUUGGGUUUGUCAGAGGUCCACACUCCGGACUAGGUUGGGUAAAGGGCAAGCUUCGCACUGUUAGUAUUUGGUUGGGUUUGUCAGAGGUCCACACUCCGGACCAGGUUGGGUAAAGGGCGAGCUUCACACUGUUAGUAUUUGGUUGGGUUUGGUGUUGUUUAACAAAGUUGUCACAAACACAUGCCGAUUUAGACUUGUUUAGCUCACAAAGUAUUUUUUAUUCUCUGUUGUCUGCCGAUGCCAAGGGUUGUGUCAAAAACAAAAGCAGUGGGGGGCUAAAAUGUGGAUACAGUAAAUGGAAAAACACAUCUUGGCAUUGGUCAAAAAAUUUGUGCUGUGCUGCUUGGAAGUUGUGCUGCCUUCAAGCACAGAAUGAGAGAAGGAGGAGGAGAAGAGGGAGCAGCAGCAAUAGAGAAAGAGGAGGAGAAGAGGGAGCAGCAGCAAUAGAGAAAGAGGAGGAGAAGAGGGAGAGGCAGCGAUAGAGAAAGAGGAGGAGAAGAGGGAGAGGCAGCGAUAGAGAAAGAGGAGGAGAAGAGGGAGAGGCAGCGAUAGAGGAGGAGGAGGAGGAGAAGUGGGAGAGGCAGCAAUAGAGGAGGAGAAGAGGGAGAGGCAGCAAUAGAGAAAGAGGAGGAGAAGAGGGAGAGGCAGCGAUAGAGAAAGAGGAGGAGAAGAGGGAGAGGCAGCGAUAGAGGAGGAGGAGGAGGAGGAGGAGAAGUGGGAGAGGCAGCAAUAGAGGAGGAGAAGAGGGAGAGGCAGCAAUAGAGAAAGAGGAGGAGAAGAGGGAGAGGCAGCAAUAGAGAAAGAGGAGGAGAAGAGGGAGAGGCAGCAAUAGAGAAAGAGGAGGAGAAGAGGGAGAGGCAGCGAUAGAGAAAGAGGAGGAGAAGAGGGAGAGGCAGCGAUAGAGGAGGAGGAGGAGGAGGAGAAGUGGGAGAGGCAGCAAUAGAGGAGGAGAAGAGGGAGAGGCAGCAAUAGAGAAAGAGGAGGAGAAGAGGGAGAGGCAGCGAUAGAGAAAGAGGAGGAGAAGAGGGAGAGGCAGCGAUAGAGAAAGAGGAGGAGAAGAGGGAGAGGCAGCGAUAGAGGAGGAGGAGGAGGAGAAGUGGGAGAGGCAGCAAUAGAGGAGGAGAAGAGGGAGAGGCAGCAAUAGAGAAAGAGGAGGAGAAGAGGGAGAGGCAGCAAUAGAGGAGGAGAAGAGGGAGAGGCAGCGAUAGAGAAAGAGGAGGAGAAGAGGGAGAGGCAGCAAUAGGAGGAGAAGAGGGAGAGGCAGCGAUAGAGAAAGAGGAGGAGGAGAAGAGGGAGAGGCAGCGAUAGAGGAGGAGGAGGAGGAGGAGGAGAAGUGGGAGAGGCAGCAAUAGAGGAGGAGAAGAGGGAGAGGCAGCAAUAGAGAAAGAGGAGGAGAAGAGGGAGAGGCAGCAAUAGAGAAAGAGGAGGAGAAGAGGGAGAGGCAGCGAUAGAGGAGGAGGAGGAGGAGGAGAAGUGGGAGAGGCAGCAAUAGAGGAGGAGAAGAGGGAGAGGCAGCAAUAGAGAAAGAGGAGGAGAAGAGGGAGAGGCAACAAUAGAGGAGGAGAAGAGGGAGAGGCAGCGAUAGAGAAAGAGGAGGAGGAGAAGAGGGAGAGGCAGCGAUAGAGAAAGAGGAGGAGGAGAAGAGGGAGAGGCAGCGAUAGAGAAAGAGGAGGAGAAGAGGGAGAGGCAGCAAUAGAGAAAGAGGAGGAGAAGAGGGAGAGGCAGCGAUAGAGGAGGAGGAGAAGAGGGAGCG